CUGGUGACUAGUGGCACAUAGAAACCCACUCAGCUGUGAAGCUAGAUAAGUAGUGAAGGAAGUUAUGAAGCUGCACCGUGAGAACCGGCUUUCUCAAGUAGAACUUAAUUGGCCUGGCGCUGCUUCAACUCAGGACAGAAGGUAGAAGGGCAAGCAGGCAUGUGUAGAAGAGGAAAUGUGCUCUUUAACAAAUAGCUCUCAAGAAUUCAAGAGCAAGAAGCCACUUGCUCCCAAGAGACAGCACUAAUCCCUUUAUGAAGGGUAGUAAGAUUAUGCAGCUUCAUCCACCUCCACAUUCAUCCACCUUCCUCAACCUCCUCCACAACCUCCCCAAAGUGGCUUUGGAGGCCAAAGAUGCAAUGGAAUGAGUGAGAAACAGAAAAGCUCUGGUUUCAUGCUGAUGGGGAUAACAGCCCAAAAAGAAGAAAAAGAAAGAAAAUAAGAAAAGAAAAGAAUGAAAAUAAGAUUAUAAGUAUAAAAUCCAAAAUAACAG
Long non-coding RNA from Heterocephalus glaber (naked mole-rat), 493 nucleotides. The record is from Ensembl. NCBI's taxonomy places the organism in Eukaryota, Metazoa, Chordata, Mammalia, Rodentia, Bathyergidae.